Molecule: ribosomal RNA, 372 nt
Filed under: uncultured organism
Description: partial 16S ribosomal RNA
Rfam family: Bacterial small subunit ribosomal RNA
Source: RNAcentral
GUAGGUGGCAAGCGUUGUCCGGAAUUAUUGGGCGUAAAGCGCGCGCAGGCGGUUCUUUAAGUCUGAUGUGAAAGCCCACGGCUCAACCGUGGAGGGUCAUUGGAAACUGGAGAACUUGAGUACAGAGGAGGAAAGCGGAAUUCCACGUGUAGCGGUGAAAUGCGUAGAGAUGUGGAGGAACACCAGUGGCGAAGGCGGCUUUCUGGUCUGUAACUGACGCUGAGGCGCGAAAGCGUGGGGAGCAAACAGGAUUAGAUACCCUGGUAGUCCGCGCCGUAAACGAUGAGUGCUAAGUGUUAGGGGGGUUUCCGCCCCCCUUAGUGCUGCAGCUAACGCAUUAAGCACUCCGCCUGGGAUACGGCCGCAAGGCUG